This is a long non-coding RNA of Vespula pensylvanica (western yellowjacket), 445 nucleotides long. RefSeq lists it as uncharacterized. Lineage: Eukaryota; Metazoa; Arthropoda; Insecta; Hymenoptera; Vespidae. The record is from RefSeq and is a predicted model, not a curated record. The transcript is spliced from 2 exons.
CUCUUCGUCCAUCCUCGUCGUUCGUCGUCGUCGUUCGCUGGCGUUCGCUACUGCCACCACUACCCCACCACUACCACCACUACCCCCACCACCGCCGUUGCCGCCGCCGCCGUUCGCCGCCGUCGCCGCCGCCACCGCCGCCGCCCUCCGCGCGACGAGGAGAACGAGAGAGCCGAGUCGGUCAAUACUCCGGGCAACGCGGCGGUGAGAGCACGACGGUGGUCGCUCGUAAGCGCGCCGUGCCGUCACUCGAGAGAGCCAGUGUGCCACCUCGAGAUUCCUUCGUUCGCGGACAUAUCAAAGAGACAUAUACACCUCCUCUAACCGUCCAAAUACUAGCAUACUAUCUGCUCCUCGUGUUGCGGAGACGAAGGACGUGCGCGACACUAGAAGAAGCCAACGAGAAAGAACAGGAGGAGGAGGAGGAGGAGGAGGAGGACGACGA